This is a long non-coding RNA of Dreissena polymorpha, 1256 nucleotides long. RefSeq lists it as uncharacterized. NCBI's taxonomy places the organism in Eukaryota, Metazoa, Mollusca, Bivalvia, Myida, Dreissenidae. The transcript has 3 exons. The record is from RefSeq and is a predicted model, not a curated record.
CACAGUUCGACAUUGUACAUUUUCUGAUAAACUUCCUGCUUUUUUAUAGCCAAAAAUACAGAUUGAGCGAAAAGACAUCGUGCGAACACCAAAAGAUGUGCUCAUUAUUAUUAGAUCUUCGAAAAUGCAUUUUUCCAAUCCUGGUGCAACCUGAGCUUUCCAAGUUUACAUCUUACUGUCAGUUUGGACAUUGUGUAGAUGAUAAUAUGGACAAUAUAUUGUGUUGUGAUUGACUGUUUUUUUAAACAGAUAAAAUGUUUUAUUCCAGACUUAACAUGUCAUUUUUCAUCAAGGGAUAACAAAAAUACAAUUUCAUUGAUAUGCAUGAAUUUGUAGUACAUAAUAUCAACAAUGUGUAUCUUUUUUUAACAGUCUGUCAUCCAUAAGUGAACAUGUUAAGCAUGUUAAGUAUGUUUAGGGAAUAUAAUGUAUACGUUUUUGUUGUUUCUGCAAACUAAGUCAGACACAUGAAAAUCUGUUUUAUGAUUAAUGAUGAAAAACUCACUCAUAGUGAUCUCACUAUAAAAUUUUCUGUCCAGUAUAAUAAAUAAAUUGAAUUGUAUGCCUGGUAUGUGUUCGAAAAAUAAAUUCACAAAUACUGUUGUAGUUCAUAUCGACAUCAAGAUAUGUGAUGUAAACAUAUGUAGUCAUAUUAUGUAUUAUAUUGUGUACAUGUAUAUUAUUUGUACCGGUAAACAAAAAUUAAGAAGUGUAACGUUCAAUAUAUGAUGAUGUGUGCCAUUAAAUAUGUCUUGCUGAUUGCUUUAAUUUUGUUUAAGUUAAAAAUCGUGUUUUUGAACCUAUACAUAUGAAAUGAGUGAAUUUUGUUUUCUAUCUACACUUAUACUAAGUUUAAUAAUAUAUUAACUAUAAAUAUAUUGUUGAUAACACAUAGCAUGUAUAUGCAAUUGAAAUGUACUGUUUCCAUAGCAACUAUAAAGUAACUAAAUUAAAUUUGUCUUAUUAAUUUUAUCAAUUGUUGAAUAAACUAGAAUUGCUAAUUAAAAAAAUGUCUGCCAGUAUAAAUGCACAACACAAAUUGUAUCAUGAGCCGUUAUUUAUUUUAGUUUCAAAUUUGUAGCUAUACAAACUGUUCAAUUUCUGAAUACACACCUAUUUCAAGAACAUGUGCAAACAUUUUUUUUUUAAUUAUAAACAUUUUUAUGAUGUUCCAUAUCUGUCUAGGGCAUUUUUUUAUUUUGCUGUUAUGAUUUUGUCUUAAAUUCUUUAAUAUGGUAAUAAAUAUGAAAAAAGAA